GGGGAUUUAGCUCAGCGGUAGAGCGCUUGCCUAGCACGCACAAGGCCCUGGGUUCAGUCCCCAGCUCCG
This 69-nucleotide transfer RNA is filed under the name Rattus norvegicus (Norway rat). It matches the Rfam family "tRNA". Rfam says of the family: Transfer RNA (tRNA) molecules are approximately 80 nucleotides in length. Their secondary structure includes four short double-helical elements and three loops (D, anti-codon, and T loops). Further hydrogen bonds mediate the characteristic L-shaped molecular structure. tRNAs have two regions of fundamental functional importance: the anti-codon, which is responsible for specific mRNA codon recognition, and the 3' end, to which the tRNAs corresponding amino acid is attached (by aminoacyl-tRNA synthetases). tRNAs cope with the degeneracy of the genetic code in two manners: having more than one tRNA (with a specific anti-codon) for a particular amino acid; and 'wobble' base-pairing, i.e. permitting non-standard base-pairing at the 3rd anti-codon position. Lineage: Eukaryota; Metazoa; Chordata; Mammalia; Rodentia; Muridae. The record is from Rfam by way of RNAcentral.